GAUCAUGGCUCAGGAUGAACGCUAGCGACAGGCUUAACACAUGCAAGUCGAGGGGCAGCGAGGAAGUGGCAACACUUCUGUCGGCGACCGGCGCACGGGUGAGUAACGCGUAUGCAACCUGCCCUUCACAGGGGGAUAACCGGGAGAAAUUCCGACUAAUACCGCAUACGUCCUCCGGGGCGGAUCCCACGGGGGAGUGAAAGAAUUAAUUCGGUGAAGGAAGUAGGGCGAUGCGUGAUAUUAGGUUAGGUUGGUCGGGGG
Molecule: ribosomal RNA, 261 nt
Filed under: uncultured bacterium
Lineage: Bacteria
Description: partial 16S ribosomal RNA
Rfam family: Bacterial small subunit ribosomal RNA
Source: RNAcentral